GAGAAGUGGUCGCCAAGUGCAGCAGGUGUGAUCUUCUCUUGAGUCAUAUCUAUAGUGUGUUGAACGAGCCUGCUGUGAUGUCAGUUUGAACUGGGUUUGUGAUGAAAUACCCUCUGCAGAUCCUCUCUCUCCUAGCAAUUCACUGGACAGCAAUGGGCGAUGUACUUGAAGCACAUGGAACUGAAGGUGGAGAUUUAAACAUCAAGUGUCCAUAUCCAGAUGGUUAUCUGCAUCUAACAAAGUAUGUCUGCCGUCAUCCAUGUUGGAGAUGGGAUGUUCUUAUCAGAAGUGAUACGUCGGAUGUCAGUGAAGGAAGAUUCCUCCUGAAUGACAAUUCCCACGGGCGCAUUUUCAGUAUGACCAUCAUAAAACUGAGUCUACAGGACGCAGGCCUCUAUUACUGUGGAAUAGAUACAUGGGGCAGAGACUGGAAGGUCAAAGUAAAAGUGACUGUCAGUCAAGCAACGGUUCCUGCAGCCACACUGCCCCCCUCUGCUGUUCAGAGUGGCGGGGGUUCACCACACAGCAGCUCCGUCAGACCGACGGGAACUGCCUUCAGUGCUGAGCAAGAAUGGAGAGUCCCUUUCUCCACAC
Molecule: long non-coding RNA, 594 nt
Organism: Conger conger (European conger)
Lineage: Eukaryota; Metazoa; Chordata; Actinopteri; Anguilliformes; Congridae
Exons: 3
Source: RefSeq, a predicted model, not a curated record